RNAcentral lists this unclassified non-coding RNA (375 nucleotides) under uncultured bacterium. RNAcentral describes it as "contains 16S-23S intergenic spacer region". The record is from RNAcentral.
UCCGGCUUAACGCCGGCAGUCCCCCCAGAGUGCCCGGCAUAACCCGCUGGUAACUAGGGACGAGGGUUGCGCUCGUUGCGGGACUUAACCCAACAUCUCACGACACGAGCUGACGACAGCCAUGCAGCACCUGUGCAGGCUCCGAAGAGCGCCCGCUUUCACGGGUUUCACCCUGCAUGUCAAGCCCAGGUAAGGUUCUUCGCGUCGCAUCGAAUUAAGCAACAUGCUCCGCCGCUUGUGCGGGGCCCCGUCAAUUCCUUUGAGUUUUAAUCUUGCGACCGUACUCCCCAGGCGGGGCACUUAAUGCGUUAGCUGCGGCACCCAGGGGGUCAAUACCCCGGACACCUAGUGCCCAUCGUUUACAGCGUGGACUAC